GGAGUUGUGCCUAGCAAUCCUACAGGUGAAAUCAACCCCUCCCAUCUCAUCCAUCCAUCUGCUAUCUCCUCUCAUCUCAUCCGUCAAUUUAUUUCGCUGUCCUCCUCGAUCCACCUAUUCCAACGAUUAUUAUCCUCUCCACCGCCGUCCACGCGCGAUCACUCCGCCCUCGCCAUCUCUGCCUCGCACCCCGCCUCCGCCGCUUUCAAUCCAUCGCGCAUCCGCCACCGCGCAUCCAUCCAUCCAUCCGCGCCGGAGGUUUCGCUGGAGCUGUCGCAUCUCCCACUCUUCCCCUCCCCGCUGUAUAUCCUCCUCACUCCAACACUGCGCCGGGCACCGGUCCUCCUCGCGGUCUCCGCCGUCGCCGUCCAUCUUCCACAAGUGGUCACCGCCGCUGCCUCCUCCACUCCGCCUGCAUCACCGUUCAAUCACGGCGCUGCCACGACACAAUUCGACCUCAACCACGGCGCUGCCUCCUGCGCUCCCGCCACUCAAUCUGAUAGCUGGUUCGUUGGACAUGAUUUGUUCCUUCACAUGAUCUAUGUGUUGCCCAAGCUCCAGAUAUCACGGUAUAAUGCUUCUGCUCUGGUCCUAAGGCCUGACUAUUGCUGCCUAUGGUGAGUUCUAUUACAGAAAAAAAAAUUAAGUGUUUUGGAAGACUACAAGGACCAUGGAUGCCAUAUGUUAUUGGGGCUUAUCCCAUAGUAAAAAUGUAAACAAGAGCUCCGGCAAGGUCAGUUGUCACUGAUUUCUCUUCCACGAUUUUGCUGCACUUGCA
This 778-nucleotide long non-coding RNA is filed under the name Oryza sativa tropical japonica subgroup. RNAcentral's name for it is "lncRNA OsAzu_08g0014020". Lineage: Eukaryota; Viridiplantae; Streptophyta; Magnoliopsida; Poales; Poaceae. The record is from RNAcentral.